CCUACGGGAGGCAGCAGUGGGGAAUUUUGGACAAUGGACGCAAGUCUGAUCCAGCCAUGCCGCGUGUGGGAAGAAGGCCUUCGGGUUGUAAACCACUUUUGUCAGGGAAGAAACGGUCUAGGUUAAUACCUUGGGCUAAUGACGGUACCUGAAGAAUAAGCACCGGCUAACUACGUGCCAGCAGCCGCGGUAAUACGUAGGGUGCAAGCGUUAAUCGGAAUUACUGGGCGUAAAGCGUGCGCAGGCGGUUAUGCAAGACAGAUGUGAAAUCCCCGGGCUCAACCUGGGAACUGCAUUUGUGACUGCAUGGCUAGAGUACGGUAGAGGGGGAUGGAAUUCCGCGUGUAGCAGUGAAAUGCGUAGAUAUGCGGAGGAACACCGAUGGCGAAGGCAAUCCCCUGGACCUGUACUGACGCUCAUGCACGAAAGCGUGGGGAGCAAACAGGAUUAGAUACCCUGGUAGUCCACGCCCUAAACGAUGUCAACUGGUUGUUGGGAGGGUUUCUUCUCAGUAACGUAGCUAACGCGUGAAGUUGACCGCCUGGGGAGUACGGCCGCAAGGUUGAAACGUCAAAGGAUUGACGG
Molecule: ribosomal RNA, 585 nt
Filed under: uncultured bacterium
Lineage: Bacteria
Description: bacterial SSU rRNA
Rfam family: Bacterial small subunit ribosomal RNA
Source: RNAcentral